Molecule: ribosomal RNA, 917 nt
Filed under: uncultured bacterium
Lineage: Bacteria
Description: bacterial SSU rRNA
Rfam family: Bacterial small subunit ribosomal RNA
Source: RNAcentral
GGUACCUGCAGAAGAAGCCCCGGCUAACUACGUGCCAGCAGCCGCGGUAAUACGUAGGGGGCAAGCGUUAUCCGGAUUCAUUGGGCGUAAAGCGCUCGUAGGCGGUCUGUUAGGUCGGGAGUUAAAUCCGGGGGCUCAACCCCCGCUCGCUCCCGAUACCGGCAGACUUGAGUUUGGUAGGGGAAGGUGGAAUUCCUAGUGUAGCGGUGGAAUGCGCAGAUAUUAGGAAGAACACCAGUGGCGAAGGCGGCCUUCUGGGCCAUAACUGACGCUGAGGAGCGAAAGCUAGGGGAGCAAACAGGAUUAGAUACCCUGGUAGUCCUAGCCGUAAACGAUGGACACUAGGUGUGGGGGAAUUAUUCUUCCGUGCCGCAGCUAACGCAUUAAGUGUCCCGCCUGGGGAGUACGGCCGCAAGGCUAAAACUCAAAGGAAUUGACGGGGGCCCGCACAAGCAGCGGAGCAUGUGGUUUAAUUCGAAGCAACGCGAAGAACCUUACCAGGGCUUGACAUUUAGGUGAAGCGGCGGAAACGUCGUGGCCGAAAGGAGCCUAAACAGGUGGUGCAUGGCUGUCGUCAGCUCGUGUCGUGAGAUAUUAGGUUAAGUCCUGCAACGAGCGCAACCCUCGUCGUAUGUUGCCAGCGGUUAGGCCGGGCACCCAUACGAGACCGCCGGCGUCAAGCCGGAGGAAGGUGGGGACGACGUCAAGUCAUCAUGCCCCUUAUGUCCUGGGCUACACACGUGCUACAAUGGCCGGCACAAUGGGCUGCCAACCCGCGAGGGUGAGCGAAUCCCUAAAGCCGGUCCCAGUUCGGAUUGGAGGCUGCAACCCGCCUCCAUGAAGUCGGAGUUGCUAGUAAUCGCGGAUCAGCACGCCGCGGUGAAUGCGUUCCCGGGCCUUGUACUCACCGCCCGUCA